Molecule: long non-coding RNA, 306 nt
Organism: Eucalyptus grandis
Lineage: Eukaryota; Viridiplantae; Streptophyta; Magnoliopsida; Myrtales; Myrtaceae
Exons: 3
Source: RefSeq, a predicted model, not a curated record
CGACCAAAAAGAAAAGAAAGAAAGAAGAAGAAGAAGAAGAAGAAGAAGAAGAGAAAAGGGAAGAAAGGAAAGAAGUUUUGGCACGUGCACGCCUCGGAUGCCUUGCCAAGCCAACUCGACUCCAUAACCCGGGCCUUGAGUUCGACGAUACAAGUAUCGUUUGUCGUUUGAUCAUAGACAACAAGGUUCCUCAGCUAGUGGCGAAUAGAGCGAGUGCGCCGUCGUGGGAAACUUUUGGGGAGUUCUAUUUUGUUUUUGGUAUGGUUUAAGGAAGUGGUGCAAAUGAUCUUUACUAGUGGUUGAAUC